This 1374-nucleotide long non-coding RNA is filed under the name Canis lupus familiaris (dog). Its description in RNAcentral is "lncRNA (ENSCAFG00040010595.1)". The record is from RNAcentral. Lineage: Eukaryota; Metazoa; Chordata; Mammalia; Carnivora; Canidae.
GGGAUUGCAGCUCUCUUAGUGCCCCAAAGCCUGCUGAGCCCCCUUAAGCUGGAGGCAGACCCCAAGAUCCAGGCUGUGCACACAUAGGAGAAGGAGUUCAAGAAUCUUAACAGCAAAUUUACCUCCUUUACCAAGCAGGUGAAUGGGAUUCUGGAGACUGAAUGGAGCCUGGAGCAAUAGUUGAAAGCGGCUUGGAGCCCGCGGCUAAGGCGGCAGAGAGCUGCAUGGCCUUGGGUGGCGGCUGCUGGCCUGGCCCGGGAGAAGCCGCGGCCCAGGAGGAGAGCUGCGGGCCCAGGAGGAGAGCUGCGGGGCCCAGGAGGAGAGCUGCGGGGCCCAGGAGGAGAGCUGCGGGGCCCAAGAGGUGAGCUGCGGGCCCAGGAGGAGAGCUCGGGCCCAGGAGGUGAGCUGCGGGGCCCAGGAGGUGAGCUGCGGGGCCCAGGAGGAGAGCUCGGGCCCAGGAGGAGAGCUGCGGGCCCAGGAGGAGAGCUGCGGGCCCAGGAGGUGAGCUGCGGGCCCAGGAGGAGAGCUCGGGCCCAGGAGGUGAGCUGCGGGCCCAGGAGGAGAGCUGCGGGCCCAGGAGGAGAGCUGCGGGGCCCAGGAGGAGAGCUGCGGGGCCCAGGAGGAGAGCAGCGGGGCCCAAGAGGUGAGCUGCGGGCCCAGGAGGAGAGCUCGGGCCCAGGAGGUGAGCUGCGGGGCCCAGGAGGUGAGCUGCGGGGCCCAGGAGGAGAGCUCGGGCCCAGGAGGAGAGCUGCGGGCCCAGGAGGAGAGCUGCGGGCCCAGGAGGUGAGCUGCGGGGCCCAGGAGGAGAGCUCGGGUUCAGGAGGUGAGCUCGGGCCCAGGAGGAGAGCUGCGGGGCCCAGGAGGAGAGCUGCGGGGCCCAGGAGGAGAGCUGCGGGCCCAGGAGGAGAGCUCGGGCCCAGGAGGAGAGCUGCGGGCCCAGGAGGUGAGCUGCGGGGCCCAGGAGGUGAGCUGCGGGGCCCAGGAGGAGAGCUCGGGCCCAGGAGGAGAGCUGCGGGCCCAGGAGGAGAGCUCGGGCCCAGGAGGAGAGCUGCGGGAGAGCCCGUCCAGAGGCGGGGCUGGCCGAGGGCUCCGGAGUACAUGGGAGGAAGCGCCCCAAGAGCGCAGAGAUGCAGACGCCAACUGUCCUGGUCAGGAAGGCCGCGGGCGACUUGGCCGGAGGGAGGCGGCGGGGACCGUCCGGAGGGCGUCGUGGGGCUGCGGGGGUGGGGGUGGGGGGACGAAGGGCCGCAGCCGCUGCCCGCCCGUGGCCAGCCCUGCUCCCCGGACCAGAUGGCAUCGUCGCCCGGGUCAAGGGCCGGUGCAAGGCGAUCGCCGGCCGCAGCCAGGCCGCGGCUCACACCGGGUGCACCCUGA